This 467-nucleotide ribosomal RNA is filed under the name uncultured bacterium. Its description in RNAcentral is "partial 16S ribosomal RNA". It matches the Rfam family "Bacterial small subunit ribosomal RNA", at positions 28 to 506 of the family's 1533-position model. The record is from RNAcentral.
GACGAACGCUGGCGGCGUGCUUAACACAUGCGAGUCGAACGGAAAGGCCCUGCUUUUGUGGGGUGCUCGAGUGGCGAACGGGUGAGUAACACGUGAGUAACCUGCCCUUGACUUUGGGAUAACUUCAGGAAACUGGGGCUAAUACCGGAUAGGAGCUCCUGCUGCAUGGUGGGGGUUGGAAAGUUUCGGCGGUUGGGGAUGGACUCGCGGCUUAUCAGCUUGUUGGUGGGGUAGUGGCUUACCAAGGCUUUGACGGGUAGCCGGCCUGAGAGGGUGACCGGCCACAUUGGGACUGAGAUACGGCCCAGACUCCUACGGGAGGCAGCAGUGGGGAAUAUGGCACAAUGGGCGGAAGCCUGAUGCAGCAACGCCGCGUGCGGGAUGACGGCCUUCGGGUUGUAAACCGCUUUCGCCUGUGACGAAGCGUGAGUGACGGUAAUGGGUAAAGAAGCACCGGCUAACUACGU